Limulus polyphemus (Atlantic horseshoe crab) is the source of this 1167-nucleotide long non-coding RNA. RefSeq lists it as uncharacterized. The record is from RefSeq and is a predicted model, not a curated record. The transcript is spliced from 3 exons. Lineage: Eukaryota; Metazoa; Arthropoda; Merostomata; Xiphosura; Limulidae.
CACAGCUUAUCCUCCAGCUGCUAAUGGUUUAGUAGAAAGAUUCAAUAGAACUUUGUUAGAUAUGAUCUCUCAAUAUUGUGAGAAGGGUUUUAAUAUAAGCAAGCAAGUAAAGAUAGAUAUAAAAAGAAAAAGUGGCGACAAAAAGAUGCCUGUGUUACGAAAUAACCCUUGAGAAUUAAUGAACAAGAACUUGGUUGUGUAAGAGUUAUCACUUAGAAGUAAGCAGCAAGACACGUGCAGUACUUAAAAUAAGUUUAAGAGGCAAGCUUGGAAAUCAGUGACCAAGGUCAGCAGCAGAGUUAGAAAGAACUGUUGUAUAAAAACAGGAUGUUGACAGUUUGAUGGAGUGCUGACCUCGCUCUCUUAGCACUAGGAAAGCUGCAGAAAAGCUUAGAUUUGGUGAAUCAUAUCGGCACUUUGAGGCAGUAUUAGUUACAGCCCAUGGGUGUAGCAGUACAAGUGAAUAGGCGGCCGGCUAACGCUACUUAUCUAUGACCAAUUACUUGAGAGUUUUUGUUUAGGUUCUGGUUUAGCUCGGGAAUUCCCCUAAAGUAUCCAAUAGGAGCACAGGACUACUUGUGGGUGAUGUUGUGUCCUAUUUAGUGGGUCGAAUUAACACAGGGAAAUUAGAGUUUAAAAACCCAUGUUAGAGGCUGAAAAGUAAGUUCUCCCAGACUGAAGAAAAGCUCUCCAGGGCUGAGAAGAAGUUCCAAGUUCUCUGCUGAAGUUCUUCAUAAUGAAAGUAAAAUUUACAAACUUAGCCGCGGCUUCCAAAACCCCAACUCUACUCUUGAAAAAACAAACAUCGGCUAUUAAAACUGUAGACGCGACAAGAUGUAGAGUUUGUGAAAUAAACAUCAGAGCUUGGGCUGUAACGUCACGUUGUGGCAGUACGUUGAUUCCCCCUCCAAGUUACACCUAGAUACUCGUCAUCAGUGGUACAAAAUGAACAAUCUGAAGGUACUACACAGCCUUCAGAGGUGAUACCAUGUCGCUUGUCUAUAAUGACCAAAAUACGUUUUCUACUUUUGAAGUCUUUCUGUGGCACUGAUGGAAGGUUCACAAUUUAAAGCAUUUGCACAGAAAACAAGUUCUGCACAUGUUUUUAAUCUACUGUUUCGGCUGACACAGAUCUGUAAAUAGGAAUGAAAUCAAGUGGAACUUUCA